RNAcentral lists this ribosomal RNA (702 nucleotides) under marine bacterium enrichment culture clone A05-A3-S5. Its description in RNAcentral is "bacterial SSU rRNA". It matches the Rfam family "Bacterial small subunit ribosomal RNA", at positions 119 to 818 of the family's 1533-position model. The record is from RNAcentral.
AGGAAUCUGCCCGAGAGUGGGGGAUAACCCAGGGAAACUUGGAUUAAUACCGCAUGAUCUCUACGGAGCAAAGCUGGGGACCUUCGGGCCUGGCGCUUUUGGAGGAGCCUAUGUCUGAUUAGCUUGUUGGUGAGGUAACGGCUCACCAAGGCGACGAUCAGUAACUGGUCUGAGAGGACGACCAGUCACACCGGAACUGAGACACGGUCCGGACUCCUACGGGAGGCAGCAGUGGGGAAUAUUGGACAAUGGGCGAAAGCCUGAUCCAGCAAUGCCGCGUGUGUGAAGAAGGCCUUCGGGUUGUAAAGCACUUUAGGAUGGAAAGAAAAAACUUCAGUUAAUAGCUGAAGUCUUGACGGUACCAUCAGAAUAAGCACCGGCUAACUCUGUGCCAGCAGCCGCGGUAAUACAGAGGGUGCAAGCGUUAAUCGGAUUUACUGGGCGUAAAGCGUGUGUAGGUGGUGGCGUAAGUCGAUUGUGAAAUCCCCGGGCUCAACCUGGGAACUGCUUUCGAUACUGCGUCACUAGAGUACGGUAGAGGGUGGUGGAAUUUCCGGUGUAGCGGUGAAAUGCGUAGAUAUCGGAAGGAACAUCAAUGGCGAAGGCAACCACCUGGGCCUGUACUGACACUGAGACACGAAAGCGUGGGGAUCAAACAGGAUUAGAUACCCUGGUAGUCCACGCCGUAAACGAUGAUCACUA